Small nucleolar RNA from Cannabis sativa, 77 nucleotides. RefSeq annotates it as small nucleolar RNA R21. NCBI's taxonomy places the organism in Eukaryota, Viridiplantae, Streptophyta, Magnoliopsida, Rosales, Cannabaceae. The record is from RefSeq and is a predicted model, not a curated record. The transcript has a single exon.
UAUCUCUAUGAUGAUUGGUUUAUAAAUAAAAGUAGUGGACUGAUUUCCAUUGAUGAUUACAACCGUUCUGAGAGAUC